GUAGGUAUUGUUGAGGUCUCCGUAAAAUCUCAUAGACAGUUUAUGUCGAUGAAUAAGAUAUAUACUUUUGGAAACAGCAGGCACUGCCGAAGGUAUUCCACCGUGUGUCGCUGGGAGUCGUAAUUCCCGAAUUCCGCUUGCAUAGAGUAACUCGCCAGGGUACUAGCUUCUCUGGGAUCGCAAUGAAUUCUACCUUCUAUCACAUCCAUUUUCAGCUCUGCCGUUUGAGAGGUUUGUCCAUCUGGACCCACCGAGAGGUAGGAGCUCCGUCCCUAGAGAUGUAACUGAGGCCGAAGAACUCGGGCUGUCCGAGACCCAGCCUCUGCGUGACAUUUGUGAGACAUUCGUGCCCCAAACUCUGAAUGUCCAACGUGCACUCGAUGGAGCCAGUGUCCAACAGUUCCACGCAAAUGACGUACUGAUUCCUCGAGACCACAUUGUACUGUCGACUUUUUUUCAGGUGAAAUUUGAAUGGCAUUUUACUUCAUGGAUUGUUCCUGUUAUCGGAUGACGUGAACUCUUUCCUCUCCUCCCGACACACACGACGUGCAAGGGGUGUGUUUCACUGCUCGAGGUAUUAUUUCACAAUACAUAAAUAACCGCGACAUAAGGACGCUGGCGUUAUCUCGGAUCAACACACGUUCAGUCGCUUCACCGCGAACAUCAUCGAAAACGAGCACGUAACCAGUCUAAAAACAGUUCACCACAAAUCGCGUAGGCAUCUUAUUUUUAUUUAUCCAUGAUAUUUACGCCGGAGAUCCUACCACUUAACUAGAACAAAAACUCAACUCUUGAGCCAGAUACCAACGUCGAAGGAGAGAGGGAACUGAAAGUUUUGCGCUCUUUGUGAUUCACCACUUCGUCACCGAGCGCGCUACUAUUUUAGCGUCCGUCAACAAUGACGUCAACGGGGCGCCAAGACGUUGAAAAAUUUCGGGGAAACAUUAACGACGCUUUUAAUUAAUCCUCGUCAAUGA
This 977-nucleotide unclassified non-coding RNA is filed under the name Athalia rosae (coleseed sawfly). RNAcentral describes it as "misc RNA ENSAEAG00005011446.1". The record is from RNAcentral. Lineage: Eukaryota; Metazoa; Arthropoda; Insecta; Hymenoptera; Athaliidae.